GACAGAGGGGGCGAGCGUUAUCCGGAGUUAUUGGGCGUAAAGGGUACGUAGGCGGCUGGUCAAGGCUGGGGUUAAAGACCACAGCUUAACUGUGGGGGGCCUUGGAAACUGACCGGCUGGAGUGGGGCAGGGGUUGCGGGAAUUCCCGGUGUAGCGGUGAAAUGCGUAGAUAUCGGGAAGAACACCUGAGGCGAAAGCGCGCAACUGGGCCCUAACUGACGCUGAGGUACGAAAGCUAGGGGAGCGAAUGGG
RNAcentral lists this ribosomal RNA (252 nucleotides) under uncultured bacterium. RNAcentral describes it as "partial 16S ribosomal RNA". It matches the Rfam family "Bacterial small subunit ribosomal RNA", at positions 524 to 776 of the family's 1533-position model. The record is from RNAcentral.